RNAcentral lists this ribosomal RNA (279 nucleotides) under uncultured bacterium. Its description in RNAcentral is "partial 16S ribosomal RNA". It matches the Rfam family "Bacterial small subunit ribosomal RNA", at positions 506 to 784 of the family's 1533-position model. The record is from RNAcentral.
UGCCAGCCGCCGCGGUAAUACGGAGGGGGUUAGCGUUGUUCGGAAUUACUGGGCGUAAAGCGCACGUAGGCGGAUUAGAAAGUAUGGGGUGAAAUCCCGGGGCUCAACCCCGGAACUGCCUCAUAAACUCCUAGUCUAGAGAUCGAGAGAGGUGAGUGGAAUUCCAAGUGUAGAGGUGAAAUUCGUAGAUAUUAGAAAGAACACCAGUGGCGAAAGCGCUCUACUGGACCAUUACUGACACUCAGAGGCGAAAGCUAGGGUAGCAAAAGGGAUUAGAUA